This 488-nucleotide ribosomal RNA is filed under the name Euastacus neohirsutus. RNAcentral describes it as "partial 16S ribosomal RNA". It matches the Rfam family "Archaeal large subunit ribosomal RNA", at positions 2020 to 2712 of the family's 2987-position model. Lineage: Eukaryota; Metazoa; Arthropoda; Malacostraca; Decapoda; Parastacidae. The record is from RNAcentral.
UGACCGUGCGAAGGUAGCAUAAUCAUUAGUCUUUUAAUUGAAGGCUUGUAUGAAUGGUUGGACGAGAAGUAAUCUGUCUCUAUUGAAAAAAUUGAAUUUAACUUUUGAGUGAGAAGGCUUAAAUGAUCUAGAGGGACGAUAAGACCCUAUAAAGUUUAACAUUAUAAUAACAAAAAGUUGAUUGGGUUAGAGAACUUAUUAUUAUGAAUAGUGUUUUGUUGGGGCGACAAGAAUAUAAACAAUUUAACUGUUCUUUUUUGUAUCAAAGAUAUUUGGGUUAAUGAUCUUUUUAAGAGUAUUAGAGUAAAUUACUUUAGGGAUAACAGCGUAAUUUUUUUUGAGAGUUCUUAUCGACAAAAGAGUUUGCGACCUCGAUGUUGAAUUAAAGAUUCUUUAUAAUGCAGAAGUUAUAUAAGAAGGUCUGUUCGACCUUUAAAUCUUUACAUGAUUUGAGUUCAGACCGGUGUGAGCCAGGUUGGUUUCUAUCU